Long non-coding RNA from Motacilla alba alba, 460 nucleotides. RefSeq lists it as uncharacterized. The record is from RefSeq and is a predicted model, not a curated record. The transcript is spliced from 3 exons. Lineage: Eukaryota; Metazoa; Chordata; Aves; Passeriformes; Motacillidae.
UCGGGCUGAGAGAAAGGGAAAGGCACUUUUACAGUGUCUUGGAAUAUUUUUCUUCUGCACAAUUCUGACUUUUCAGCACAUAUUCAUGCUACAGCGAGAGAAGGAAAGAAAACAAAAAGGAUUCAGAGGUUUUACACCACAAGCUGAGAGGAGUUUGCACCCAUCAGAGCCCUGAUGGGUGGCUGCUGUUUAAUGUGACUUGCCGCAUCAAACACCUGUUUGCCAGGGCAAUUGUGCAAGAAGAGAGCCUGUCUCUACGGUCAACGUGGAAAUACAGAUUGACAAAGCCUUCUCCAGAAGAAAUUCAAAUAUCCCACCUAUGAAUACCUUACAGAUCAUACCAAGGACAGUCUACUGGGAGUGAACAUCGUUUUAGGCAAGAGAGGUAAUCUAGAUCUCAUGUGCUUCAAGGAAAUGCUUAAAUAUCCUUUUAGGAAGGAAAUGGGGGCUUGUGUCUAUC